AGUGAACGCUGGCGGUAGGCCUAACACAUGCAAGUCGAACGGCAGCACAGUAAGAGCUUGCUCUUACGGGUGGCGAGUGGCGGACGGGUGAGGAAUACAUCGGAAUCUACUUUUUCGUGGGGGAUAACGUAGGGAAACUUACGCUAAUACCGCAUACGACCUACGGGUGAAAGCAGGGGAUCUUCGGACCUUGCGCGAUUGAAUGAGCCGAUGUCGGAUUAGUUAGUUGGCGGGGUAAAGGCCCACCAAGGCGGCGAUCCGUAGCUGGUCUGAGAGGAUGAUCAGCCACACUGGAACUGAGACACGGUCCAGACUCCUACGGGAGGCAGCAGUGGGGAAUAUUGGACAAUGGGCGCAAGCCUGAUCCAGCCAUACCACGUGGGUGAAGAAGGCCUUCGGGUUGUAAAGCCCUUUUGUUGGGAAAGAAAAGCAGCAGGUUAAUACCCCGCUGUUCUGACGGUACCCAAAGAAUAAGCACCGGCUAACUUCGUG
RNAcentral lists this ribosomal RNA (492 nucleotides) under uncultured bacterium. RNAcentral describes it as "partial 16S ribosomal RNA". It matches the Rfam family "Bacterial small subunit ribosomal RNA", at positions 29 to 507 of the family's 1533-position model. The record is from RNAcentral.